ACAACGUCUCGAAAGGGACGCUAAUACCGCAUACGUCCUACGGGAGAAAGUGGGGGCUCUUCGGACCUCACGCUAUCAGAUGAGCCUAGGUCGGAUUAGCUAGUUGGUGAGGUAAUGGCUCACCAAGGCGACGAUCCGUAACUGGUCUGAGAGGAUGAUCAGUCACACUGGAACUGAGACACGGUCCAGACUCUAUACGGGAGGCAGCAGUGGGGAAUAUUGGACAAUGGGCGAAAGCCUGAUCCAGCCAUGCCGCGUGUGUGAAGAAGGUCUUCGGAUUGUAAAGCACUUUAAGUUGGGAGGAAGGGUUGUACGUUAAUACCGUGCAAUUUUGACGUUACCGACAGAAUAAGCACCGGCUAACUCUGUGCCAGCAGCCGCGGUAAUACAGAGGGUGCAAGCGUUAAUCGGAAUUACUGGGCGUAAAGCGCGCGUAGGUGGUUUGUUAAGUUGGAUGUGAAAUCCCCGGGCUCAACCUGGG
This 481-nucleotide ribosomal RNA is filed under the name Pseudomonas sp. acu100. RNAcentral describes it as "bacterial SSU rRNA". It matches the Rfam family "Bacterial small subunit ribosomal RNA", at positions 143 to 618 of the family's 1533-position model. The record is from RNAcentral. Lineage: Bacteria; Pseudomonadati; Pseudomonadota; Gammaproteobacteria; Pseudomonadales; Pseudomonadaceae.